This 453-nucleotide ribosomal RNA is filed under the name uncultured bacterium. RNAcentral describes it as "bacterial SSU rRNA". It matches the Rfam family "Bacterial small subunit ribosomal RNA", at positions 8 to 507 of the family's 1533-position model. The record is from RNAcentral.
AGAGUUUGAUCCUGGCUCAGAGCGAACGCUGGCGGCAGGCCUAACACAUGCAAGUCGAACGGACCUUUCGGGGUUAGUGGCGGACGGGUGAGUAACACGUGGGAACGUGCCUUUUGGUUCGGAAUAGCUCCUGGAAACGGGUGGUAAUGCCGAAUGUGCCCUUCGGGGGAAAGAUUUAUCGCCAUUAGAGCGGCCCGCGUCUGAUUAGCUAGUUGGUGAGGUAAAGGCUCACCAAGGCUACGAUCAGUAGCUGGUCUGAGAGGAUGACCAGCCACAUUGGGACUGAGACACGGCCCAAACUCCUACGGGAGGCAGCAGUGGGGAAUCUUGCGCAAUGGGCGAAAGCCUGACGCAGCCAUGCCGCGUGAAUGAUGAAGGUCUUAGGAUUGUAAAAUUCUUUCACCGGGGACGAUAAUGACGGUACCCGGAGAAGAAGCCCCGGCUAACUUCGUG